GCGACCCCAGGAUGGGCGAGGCCACCCGCCGAGUUUAAGCAUAUCAAUAAGCGGAGGAGAAGAAACUUAC
RNAcentral lists this ribosomal RNA (70 nucleotides) under Maxillaria pudica. Its description in RNAcentral is "partial 26S ribosomal RNA". It matches the Rfam family "Eukaryotic large subunit ribosomal RNA", at positions 1 to 69 of the family's 3401-position model. The record is from RNAcentral. Lineage: Eukaryota; Viridiplantae; Streptophyta; Magnoliopsida; Asparagales; Orchidaceae.